This 803-nucleotide ribosomal RNA is filed under the name uncultured Bacillota bacterium. RNAcentral describes it as "bacterial SSU rRNA". It matches the Rfam family "Bacterial small subunit ribosomal RNA", at positions 58 to 883 of the family's 1533-position model. The record is from RNAcentral. Lineage: Bacteria; Bacillati; Bacillota.
CAAGUCGAACGCAAAUAGCAAUAUUUGAGUGGCGCACGGGUGAGUAACACGUAGCUUACCUCCCCCCAAGCGCGGGAUAACGGUUCGAAAGAGCUGCUAAUACCGCAUAAGCUCACGGUCUGUAGAGGGCUGCGAGAAAAGGAGCAAUUCACUUGGGGACGGGGCUGCGGCCCAUCAGCUAGAUGGUGAGGUAAAGGCUUACCAUGGCGACGACGGGUAGGGGACCUGAGAGGGUGACCCCCCACACUGGGACUGAGACACGGCCCAGACUCCUACGGGAGGCAGCAGUGAGGAAUAUUGCACAAUGGGCGCAAGCCUGAUGCAGCGACGCCGCGUGAGUGAAGAAGGCCUUCGGGUCGUAAAGCUCUUUUCUGCGUGACGAGCAAGGACGGUAGCGCAGGAAUAAGUCUCGGCUAACUACGUGCCAGCAGCCGCGGUAAAACGUAGGAGACAAACGUUAUCCGGAGUUACUGGGCGUAAAGGGCGUGUAGGCGGUUGGUUAAGUCUGGCGUGAAAGCUCUCGGCUAAACCGGGAGAGGUCGUUGGAUACUGGCCGACUAGAGGACGGUAGAGGCGUGUGGAAUUCCGGGUGUAGUGGUGAAAUGCGUAGAGAUCCGGAGGAACACCAGUGGCGAAGGCGACACGCUGGGCCGUACCUGACGCUAAAGCGCGACAGCAUGGGUAGCAAACGGGUUUAGAAACCCCGGUAGUCCAUGCCGUAAACGAUGCCAGCUAGGUGUUCAGGGGGCGCAAGCCGUCGGGGUACCGCAGCUAACGCGAUAAGCUGGCCGCCUGGGGAGUAC